Molecule: ribosomal RNA, 253 nt
Filed under: uncultured bacterium
Lineage: Bacteria
Description: partial 16S ribosomal RNA
Rfam family: Bacterial small subunit ribosomal RNA
Source: RNAcentral
UACAGAGGUCUCAAGCGUUGUUCGGAUUCAUUGGGCGUAAAGGGUGCGUAGGCGGCGCGGUAAGUCGGGUGUGAAAUCUCGGGGCUUAACUCCGAAACUGCAUUCGAUACUACCGUGCUUGAGGACUGGAGAGGAGACUGGAAUUUACGGUGUAGCGGUGAAAUGCGUAGAUAUCGUAAGGAAGACCAGUGGCGAAGGCGGGUCUCUGGGCCGUAACUGACGCUGAGGAGCGAAAGCGUGGGGAGCGAACAGG